AUCCGGUGCUUGCACCGGGGAUUAGUGGCGAACGGGUGAGUAACACGUGAGUAACCUGCCCUUGACUCUGGGAUAAGCCUGGGAAACCGGGUCUAAUACCGGAUACGACCUUUCACCGCAUGGUGGUUGGUGGAAAGAUUUUUUGGUUUUGGAUGGACUCGCGGCCUAUCAGCUUGUUGGUGAGGUAAUGGCUCACCAAGGCGACGACGGGUAGCCGGCCUGAGAGGGUGACCGGCCACACUGGGACUGAGACACGGCCCAGACUCCUACGGGAGGCAGCAGUGGGGAAUAUUGCACAAUGGGCGCAAGCCUGAUGCAGCGACGCCGCGUGAGGGAUGACGGCCUUCGGGUUGUAAACCUCUUUCAGCAGGGAAGAAGCGAAAGUGACGGUACCUGCAGAAGAAGCGCCGGCUAACUACGUGCCAGCAGCCGCGGUAAUACGUAGGGCGCAAGCGUUGUCCGGAAUUAUUGGGCGUAAAGAGCUCGUAGGCGGUUUGUCGCGUCUGCUGUGAAAGCCCGGGGCUCAACCCCGGGUCUGCAGUGGGUACGGGCAGACUAGAGUGCAGUAGGGGAGACUGGAAUUCCUGGUGUAGCGGUGAAAUGCGCAGAUAUCAGGAGGAACACCGAUGGCGAAGGCAGGUCUCUGGGCUGUAACUGACGCUGAGGAGCGAAAGCAUGGGGAGCGAACAGGAUUAGAUACCCUGGUAGUCCAUGCCGUAAACGUUGGGCACUAGGUGUGGGGGACAUUCCACGUUUUCCGCGCCGUAGCUAACGCAUUAAGUGCCCCGCCUGGGGAGUACGGCCGCAAGGCUAAAACUCAAAGGAAUUGACGGGGGCCCGCACAAGCGGCGGAGCAUGCGGAUUAAUUCGAUGCAACGCGAAG
Molecule: ribosomal RNA, 883 nt
Filed under: Crystallibacter crystallopoietes
Lineage: Bacteria; Bacillati; Actinomycetota; Actinomycetes; Micrococcales; Micrococcaceae
Description: bacterial SSU rRNA
Rfam family: Bacterial small subunit ribosomal RNA
Source: RNAcentral